CACAAAGACAUAUGAACCAGUAAGCUUCUCCUGCACCCCACAAGCCCAUGGCCUUCCACUCACAAGCACAUCAUCAACAAAACCAUCAACAUCUGACUCCUUCAAACUCUUGUAUUUGAUCAUAUCAGGAAAUAUCAACACAUCUCCACUCUCAAACACAGUCCCUUCGCGUUCCUCGCAUAUCGUUACCUUCGUCUUAACGGUGAUAUCGUUCUUACGAGCUUUGACAGCAGAGGAGAAGAGCUUGGGGAGGAGAUCAGUCUCAGAUUCCUCAACGCGUGGAAGCCACGCGUCAGGGCCUUUGAAGCAAACGAAUACGUGACGGUCGUACUGAUCCACAGUCCCGGCGAGGUUGCUCUUGUACAUCUCGGGUCGAGUAAAUCCGAACUUCGCGCCCUCUUCGGCCGAGAUCACCGUCCAAACAUUCUCAGUCUCCGCCAUUGAAACAGUACGUACAAUUUGUCCAGGUGUAGUAGAUAGAGCUAGGGUUCGUGGUUUCUGUAAAUGAAGAGAGCAAAGCGAGAGAAAUCCGUUUGGAGGAGAGGACUAACCAGAAAAAUGGUGAGCGAUAUAUAAUAGAGAGCGGGGAGGAGCGCUU
Molecule: unclassified non-coding RNA, 598 nt
Filed under: Hevea brasiliensis (rubber tree)
Lineage: Eukaryota; Viridiplantae; Streptophyta; Magnoliopsida; Malpighiales; Euphorbiaceae
Source: RNAcentral